CAGCAGUAGCCGCGGGAAUACGUAGGUGGCAAGCGUUGUCCGGAAUUAUUGGGCGUAAAGGGCUCGCAGGCGGUUUCUUAAGUCCGAUGUGAAAGCCCCCGGCUCAACCGGGGAGGGUCAUUGGAAACUGGGAAACUUGAGUGCAGAAGAGGAGAGUGGAAUUCCACGUGUAGCGGUGAAAUGCGUAGAGAUGUGGAGGAACACCAGUGGCGAAGGCGACUCUCUGGUCUGUAACUGACGCUGAGGAGCGAAAGCGUGGGGAGCGAACAGGAUUAGAUACCCCCGUAGUCCCUGUCUCUUAUAC
RNAcentral lists this ribosomal RNA (304 nucleotides) under uncultured bacterium. RNAcentral describes it as "partial 16S ribosomal RNA". It matches the Rfam family "Bacterial small subunit ribosomal RNA", at positions 506 to 807 of the family's 1533-position model. The record is from RNAcentral.